This 517-nucleotide ribosomal RNA is filed under the name Nomamyrmex hartigii. RNAcentral describes it as "eukaryotic LSU rRNA". The record is from RNAcentral. Lineage: Eukaryota; Metazoa; Arthropoda; Insecta; Hymenoptera; Formicidae.
AAACCGUUCAGGGGUAAACCUGAGAAACCCGAAAGAUUCGAACGGGGAGAUUCAUCGUCAGCGGCGCUGGCUUCGCGUCGGUGGGCGAUGUCCCGCGGUGCCGCCUCGUCGCGGCUCCCGCGCGGGCACGCUACCGUGCGUCGAUGUCCGGCGAACGUCGUCGUGCACUUCUCCCCUAGUAGGACGUCGCGACCCGCUGGGUGUCGGUCUACGGCCCGGGGCUGAGGUGACUGCCGCGCGGCACGUAAAACUGCGCGCGGCAAACUCCCGGUCGCCCGGCCGACUGCCCGGCGGUAUACGCAACGGUAUCAGGCCGCGCCUCGCGCGCGUCGAGCCCGUCGCAAGCGAGCGUCACGGUAGCCGGAGGUACGGACCUAGCGCCGUCCCCGGUCCUGGCCCGCUGCUGGCUGCCUCGUACGGUGUAACCUUCGACUGGCCUAGAGUCCCGCGCCCCCGUAACACGGGGCGCGCGGACGGAUACCUGUCGGCGACGCUACUGCUUUGGGUACUCUCAGGA